RNAcentral lists this ribosomal RNA (540 nucleotides) under Bacillus sp. (in: firmicutes). RNAcentral describes it as "bacterial SSU rRNA". It matches the Rfam family "Bacterial small subunit ribosomal RNA", at positions 111 to 637 of the family's 1533-position model. The record is from RNAcentral. Lineage: Bacteria; Bacillati; Bacillota; Bacilli; Caryophanales; Bacillaceae.
UAACACGUGGGUAACCUGCCUGUAAGACUGGGAUAACUCCGGGAAACCGGAGCUAAUACCGGAUAGUUCCUUGAACCGCAUGGUUCAAGGAUGAAAGACGGUUUCGGCUGUCACUUACAGAUGGACCCGCGGCGCAUUAGCUAGUUGGUGAGGUAACGGCUCACCAAGGCGACGAUGCGUAGCCGACCUGAGAGGGUGAUCGGCCAUACUGGGACUGAGACACGGCCCAGACUUCUACGGGAGGCAGCAGUAGGGAAUCUUCCGCAAUGGACGAAAGUCUGACGGAGCAACGCCGCGUGAGUGAUGAAGGUUUUCGGAUCGUAAAGCUCUGUUGUUAGGGAAGAACAAGUGCAAGAGUAACUGCUUGCACCUUGACGGUACCUAACCAGAAAGCCACGGCUAACUACGUGCCAGCAGCCGCGGUAAUACGUAGGUGGCAAGCGUUGUCCGGAAUUAUUGGGCGUAAAGGGCUCGCAGGCGGUUUCUUAAGUCUGAUGUGAAAGCCCCCGGCUCAACCGGGGAGGGUCAUUGGAAACUGGG